RNAcentral lists this ribosomal RNA (449 nucleotides) under uncultured bacterium. Its description in RNAcentral is "bacterial SSU rRNA". It matches the Rfam family "Bacterial small subunit ribosomal RNA", at positions 354 to 796 of the family's 1533-position model. The record is from RNAcentral.
GUCGAGAAUUUUUCACAAUGGGGGAAACCCUGAUGGAGCGACGCCGCGUGGGGGAUGAAUGGCUUCGGCCCGUAAACCCCUGUCAUUCGCGAUCAAUGCGUGUUGUUUAAGAGAUGACAUGUUGAUAGUAGCGGAAGAGGAAGGGACGGCUAACUCUGUGCCAGCAGCCGCGGUAAUACAGAGGUCCCGAGCGUUGUUCGGAUUCACUGGGCGUAAAGGGUGCGUAGGUGGUGAGGUAAGUCGGAUGUGAAAGCUCGGAGCUCAACUCCGAAAUGGCAUUGGAAACUACCUUGCUAGAGGUUUGGAAGGGGGACUGGAAUGCUUGGUGUAGCAGUGAAAUGCGUAGAUAUCAAGCGGAACACCAGUGGCGAAGGCGAGUCCCUGGACAACACCUGACACUGAGGCACGAAAGCUAGGGGAGCAAACAGGAUUAGAUACCCGGGUAGUCC